This is a non-coding RNA of Pelobates cultripes (western spadefoot toad), 347 nucleotides long. The record is from the annotation of a GenBank genome assembly. Lineage: Eukaryota; Metazoa; Chordata; Amphibia; Anura; Pelobatidae.
ACAUCCCUAGCCUGGCGCAUGUGCUGCAUUUGGUGGUGUAGAAAUUACUGAAAAACUACCCAGAUAUAUCAAAGCUCGCCUGUCUGCGCUGCAGCGUAACUUUGGCCUUCCCACUCACCGCCUCAUAUGCAAUGUGCCCACAAGGUGGAACUCCACCUUGCACAUGCUGGAGAGACUGUGCGAGCAGUUUCAGAUGCAGCACGCACGGGUCAGUCGCUCUGCGUAACAGCACCACUUCACCAAUGAGUGGGCCUCCAUGCGAGACCUGUGUGCCAUGUUGCGCUGUUUCGAGUACUCCACCAACAUGGCCCGUGCCGAUGAUGCCGUUCUCAGCCUUGCUAUCCUGC